AUAAGGACAUGAGGUAUCUGCAGCUGUCUAUAAGGACAUGAGAUAUCUGCAGCUGUCUAUAAGGACAUGAGAUAUCUGCAGCUGUCUACAAGUACAUUAGAGGUAUCUGCAGCUGUCUAUAAGGACAUGAGGUAUCUGCAGCUGUCUAUAAGGACAUGAGAUAUCUGCAGCUGUCUACAAGUACAUUAGAGGUAUCUGCAGCUGUCUACAAGUACAUUAGAGGUAUCUGCAGCUGUCUAUAAGGACAUGAGGUAUCUGCAGCUGUCUAUAAGGACUUUAGAGAUAUCUGCAGCUGUCUAUAAGGACAUUAGAGAUAUCUGCAGCUGUCUACAAGUACAUUAGAGGUAUCUGCAGCUGUCUAUAAGGACAUUAGAGGUAUCUGCAGCUGUCUAUAAGGACAUUAGAGGUAUCUGCAGCUGUCUAUAAGGACAUGAGGUAUCUGCAGCUGUCUAUAAGGACAUGAGGUAUCUGCAGCUGUCUAUAAGGACAUGAGGUAUCUGCAGCUGUCUAUAAGGACAUGGGGUAUCUGCAGCUGUCUAUAAGGACAUUAGAGGUAUCUGCAGCUGUCUAUAAGGACAUGAGGUAUCUGCAGCUGUCUAUAAGGACAUGGGGUAUCUGCAGCUGUCUAUAAGGACAUUAGAGGUAUCUGCAGCUGUCUAUAAGGACAUGAGGUAUCUGCAGCUGUCUAUAAGGACAUGGGGUAUCUGCAGCUGUCUAUAAGGACAUGAGGUAUCUGCAGCUGUCUAUAAGGACAUUAGAGGUAUCUGCAGCUGUCUAUAAGGACAUGAGGUAUCUGCAGCUGUCUAUAAGGACAUGAGGUAUCUGCAGCUGUCUAUAAGGACAUGAGGUAUCUGCAGCUGUCUAUAAGGACAUGAGAUAUCUGCAGCUGUCUAUAAGGACAUGAGGUAUCUGCAGCUGUCUAUAAGGACAUUAGAGGUAUCUGCAGCUGUCUAUAAGGACAUGAGGUAUCUGCAGCUGUCUAUAAGGACAUGAGGUAUCUGCAGCUGUCUAUAAGGACAUGGGGUAUCUGCAGCUGUCUAUAAGGACAUGAGGUAUCUGCAGCUGUCUAUAAGGACAUGAGGUAUCUGCAGCUGUCUAUAAGGACAUGAGAUAUCUGCAGCUGUCUAUAAGGACAUGAGAUAUCUGCAGCUGUCUACAAGUACAUUAGAGGUAUCUGCAGCUGUCUAUAAGGACAUGAGGUAUCUGCAGCUGUCUAUAAGGACAUGAGAUAUCUGCAGCUGUCUACAAGUACAUUAGAGGUAUCUGCAGCUGUCUACAAGUACAUUAGAGGUAUCUGCAGCUGUCUAUAAGGACAUGAGGUAUCUGCAGCUGUCUAUAAGGACUUUAGAGAUAUCUGCAGCUGUCUAUAAGGACAUUAGAGAUAUCUGCAGCUGUCUACAAGUACAUUAGAGGUAUCUGCAGCUGUCUAUAAGGACAUUAGAGGUAUCUGCAGCUGUCUAUAAGGACAUUAGAGGUAUCUGCAGCUGUCUAUAAGGACAUGAGGUAUCUGCAGCUGUCUAUAAGGACAUGAGGUAUCUGCAGCUGUCUAUAAGGACAUGAGGUAUCUGCAGCUGUCUAUAAGGACAUGGGGUAUCUGCAGCUGUCUAUAAGGACAUUAGAGGUAUCUGCAGCUGUCUAUAAGGACAUGAGGUAUCUGCAGCUGUCUAUAAGGACAUGGGGUAUCUGCAGCUGUCUAUAAGGACAUUAGAGGUAUCUGCAGCUGUCUAUAAGGACAUGAGGUAUCUGCAGCUGUCUAUAAGGACAUGGGGUAUCUGCAGCUGUCUAUAAGGACAUGAGGUAUCUGCAGCUGUCUAUAAGGACAUUAGAGGUAUCUGCAGCUGUCUAUAAGGACAUGAGGUAUCUGCAGCUGUCUAUAAGGACAUGAGGUAUCUGCAGCUGUCUAUAAGGACAUUAGAGGUAUCUGCAGCUGUCUAUAAGGACAUGAGGUAUCUGCAGCUGUCUAUAAGGACAUGGGGUAUCUGCAGCUGUCUAUAAGGACAUGGGGUAUCUGCAGCUGUCUAUAAGGACAUGGGGUAUCUGCAGCUGUCUAUAAGUACAUGAGGUAUCUGCAGCUGUC
Molecule: long non-coding RNA, 2077 nt
Organism: Salvelinus fontinalis (brook trout)
Lineage: Eukaryota; Metazoa; Chordata; Actinopteri; Salmoniformes; Salmonidae
Exons: 3
Source: RefSeq, a predicted model, not a curated record